Molecule: long non-coding RNA, 553 nt
Organism: Alosa sapidissima (American shad)
Lineage: Eukaryota; Metazoa; Chordata; Actinopteri; Clupeiformes; Clupeidae
Exons: 2
Source: RefSeq, a predicted model, not a curated record
UGUAGUCUUCAUAUAUGGUGGCAUACAUAUCCAUACACUAGAUUCCAUUACUUAUUUUCCAAAUGGAGAACAGUGUGAAUUUGUUUAUGUCUUUGCGUCACAGGUAUGAUGUCGACUAUGCUGCUCAGCAUCUUUUGCCUUAUGUGUCAUUUUGUGUGGAGCACUUUGGGUUGCACUAUAUGCAUACAAAAAAUGUGUGAGGCCACAGCUACUUUAAAUAUAACGGAUGCUUAUCUCAUCUUGAUAUGCGCAUGCGCACACAGCAAUACCCAUCCCCCACCCUUGACUGACUUUUGAAAUCCAACCCACGGUGACUUCAACCAUCACUUUUCUGUCCUGUCAUGCAUCUGACUGUGUAAGCUGUACAAACUCUGCUGUCAUCAUAUCCAAGGUGGUGAUUUGUGAAGACUGCUGCCCUGAGAACACUGAGUGCAUUCUGCAUGCCAAAUCAAUGUGUGCCACUUCCAUACAGGGAAAAAAGUUUCUACCUGUAGAGUGUAGCCUACUCACUGUUUGUGUGGAAAAACUAAACUUUAAUAAAAGGUUAAACAAA